GCCGUGGCUCAGUGGGAGAACAUCUGCUUUGAAUGCAGAAGGUCCCAGGUUCAAUCCCUGGCAUCUCCA
This is a non-coding RNA of Rhineura floridana, 69 nucleotides long. NCBI's taxonomy places the organism in Eukaryota, Metazoa, Chordata, Lepidosauria, Squamata, Rhineuridae. The record is from the annotation of a RefSeq genome assembly.